UCCCAAGAGGUAUAGACAAGUUUUAAUGAAAGAUGUCUAGGAUUUAGUAGUGAGAAUUCAUGGGAAAUGGAAGUGAUGAAAGAAAAUUUUUAUGGAGGGAGAUGGAAGAGAGGGUCACGGCUAGAUGAAGAAGAAGAAACCAGAAAUUGGUUUCUUAAUUUGUCAUUUUUCCCUUUUUAAAGAAUUUUAGUUGUGUUGUUGAAUGGUGAUUAGUGGAGGGCAUUUAAAUGACAUCAUAGUGAUGUCAUAAUUAGGGAUUUAAGUCAUUUUCUUUUUCUUUCUUUUCUAUUCAUUUUUAAUUU
Molecule: unclassified non-coding RNA, 302 nt
Filed under: Hevea brasiliensis (rubber tree)
Lineage: Eukaryota; Viridiplantae; Streptophyta; Magnoliopsida; Malpighiales; Euphorbiaceae
Source: RNAcentral